ACCUGGGUGGCUCAGUCGGUUGAGCGUCCGACUUCGGCUCAGGUCAUGAUCUCACGGUUCGUGGGUUCGAGCCCCGCCUCGGGCU
RNAcentral lists this transfer RNA (85 nucleotides) under Felis catus (domestic cat). It matches the Rfam family "tRNA". From Rfam's summary of the family: Transfer RNA (tRNA) molecules are approximately 80 nucleotides in length. Their secondary structure includes four short double-helical elements and three loops (D, anti-codon, and T loops). Further hydrogen bonds mediate the characteristic L-shaped molecular structure. tRNAs have two regions of fundamental functional importance: the anti-codon, which is responsible for specific mRNA codon recognition, and the 3' end, to which the tRNAs corresponding amino acid is attached (by aminoacyl-tRNA synthetases). tRNAs cope with the degeneracy of the genetic code in two manners: having more than one tRNA (with a specific anti-codon) for a particular amino acid; and 'wobble' base-pairing, i.e. permitting non-standard base-pairing at the 3rd anti-codon position. Lineage: Eukaryota; Metazoa; Chordata; Mammalia; Carnivora; Felidae. The record is from Rfam by way of RNAcentral.